Molecule: transfer RNA, 66 nt
Filed under: Platysternon megacephalum (big-headed turtle)
Lineage: Eukaryota; Metazoa; Chordata; Testudines; Platysternidae
Description: tRNA-Ser
Source: RNAcentral
CCAAGAGAGAUCCAACAGUAAGAACUGCUAAUUCUUAUACCUGAGACUAACACCUCAGCUCCCUUA